UGGGGAAUAUUGGACAAUGGGCGCAAGCCUGAUCCAGCCAUGCCGCGUGUGUGAAGAAGGCCUUUUGGUUGUAAAGCACUUUAAGCGAGGAGGAGGCUACUUGGAUUAAUACUCUAGGAUAGUGGACGUUACUCGCAGAAUAAGCACCGGCUAACUCUGUGCCAGCAGCCGCGGUAAUACAGAGGGUGCGAGCGUUAAUCGGAUUUACUGGGCGUAAAGCGUGCGUAGGCGGCUUCUUAAGUCGGAUGUGAAAUCCCUGAGCUUAACUUAGGAAUUGAAUUCGAUACUGGGAAGCUAGAGUAUGGGAGAGGAUGGUAGAAGUCCAGGUGUAGCGGUGAAAUGCGUAGAGAUCUGGAGGAAUACCGAUGGCGAAGGCAGCCAUCUGGCCUAAUACUGACGCUGAGGUACGAAAGCAUGGGGAGCAAACAGG
Molecule: ribosomal RNA, 430 nt
Filed under: bacterium
Lineage: Bacteria
Description: partial 16S ribosomal RNA
Rfam family: Bacterial small subunit ribosomal RNA
Source: RNAcentral